AUGAGGCUCAGAGUGGUGAAAGGUGAAAGCCUGGAGUCCAUUCCCUCCAGUGCAGUGCUGAAGAAACCUGGUGACACUCUCAGUCUCUCCUGUAAAGGAUCUGGGUUUGACUUGGAAGAUUAUGACAUGCACUGGAUCAGACAGCCUGCUGGGAAAGCACUGGAGUGGUUGGGUGCUAUUUGGUACGAUACAAGUAAAACUGUUUAUGCCCAAAUGGUUGAGGGGCACAUAGAAAUCACCAUAGACAACCCCAACAGCAUGAUGUAUCUGAAACUGUCUGGUAUGAGGGCAGAGGACUCGGCUGUGUAUUACUGUGCAAGAUACCACAGUGACACAAACACUGAGUGGAGACGUACAAAAACAUUCAGCCGUGCAAUGAGCAUUUAUAAAGAUUACCAUCAGGGGGGCAGUGAUGAUCCAUAG
This is a non-coding RNA of Sardina pilchardus (European sardine), 423 nucleotides long. The record is from the annotation of a RefSeq genome assembly. Lineage: Eukaryota; Metazoa; Chordata; Actinopteri; Clupeiformes; Clupeidae.